RNAcentral lists this unclassified non-coding RNA (190 nucleotides) under uncultured Piloderma. RNAcentral describes it as "sequence contains ITS1". The record is from RNAcentral. Lineage: Eukaryota; Fungi; Basidiomycota; Agaricomycetes; Atheliales; Atheliaceae.
UUGAAAUUAUAGGUGACGGUUGUAGCUGGCCUUUCGGGGCAUGUGCACGCCGGAGCCCUUAAUCCACACACACCUGUGAACCCAAUGUAAGGGCCCGUAAAAAAGGCCUUUAUGUCUCAUCACCAACCUUUAUGUCUCAUAGAAUGUAAAUCUAUAUCCUCGCCUUGAAACAGCGUUGAUAAAACUUAUA